CUGCAGAAGAGACACAGAGACAAAGCUUUGCUGAGCAUGCAGUGCUCAGGACAGAAAUCACUCCAUAGCCUUAGUGUUGGAGGUUGUACCUAGGACCAAAUGCAUGUUAGCCAAGCAUUGUACCAACAAGCUAUAAACUGAGCCCAAUAAUAUCAUCCCUCUCCCAAGAAAGUUGUCUUUUCCCCACCUGGCAGAUGGGAGCAAGACAAAAGGAAAUAAACUGCCCAUCACACUACAGCCAAGCCUCAGAUGAAACCACAGAGGAAGUGGGGAGAUGAGCAAGAGUGUUGCUUCCAUGCAGAACCUGAUAUCAGCACCAGGGUGAAGGAGACAGACACCGAGGAUACUCAAAGCCUACCAAAGCAGAAGUCUAGAGGCUCCUAAGA
Molecule: long non-coding RNA, 386 nt
Organism: Jaculus jaculus (lesser Egyptian jerboa)
Lineage: Eukaryota; Metazoa; Chordata; Mammalia; Rodentia; Dipodidae
Exons: 3
Source: RefSeq, a predicted model, not a curated record